Molecule: ribosomal RNA, 600 nt
Filed under: uncultured bacterium
Lineage: Bacteria
Description: bacterial SSU rRNA
Rfam family: Bacterial small subunit ribosomal RNA
Source: RNAcentral
UUUACUGACGCUAAAGCUCGAAGGUGCGGGUAUCGAACAGGAUUAGAUACCCUGGUAGUCCGCACGGUAAACGAUGGAUGCCCGCUGUUGGCGAUAUACAGCCAGUGGCCAAGCGAAAGCGUUAAGCAUCCCACCUGGGGAGUACGCCGGCAACGGUGAAACUCAAAGGAAUUGACGGGGGCCCGCACAAGCGGAGGAACAUGUGGUUUAAUUCGAUGAUACGCGAGGAACCUUACCCGGGCUUGAACUGCAGCAGAACGAUAGAGAGAUCUUGAGGCCCUUCGGGGCUGCUGUGGAGGUGCUGCAUGGUUGUCGUCAGCUCGUGCCGUGAGGUGUCGGCUUAAGUGCCAUAACGAGCGCAACCCCUUUCGCCAGUUGCCAUCAGGUGAUGCUGGGCACUCCGGCGACACUGCCACCGCAAGGUGUGAGGAAGGUGGGGAUGACGUCAAAUCAGCACGGCCCUUACGUCCGGGGCUACACACGUGUUACAAUGGGGAGUACAGAGAGUCAGGCGUUGGCAACACUGCCUUAAUCAAUAAAGCUCUCCUCAGUUCGGAUUGGGGUCUGCAACCCGACCCCAUGAAGCUGGAUUCGCUAGUA